GUGCUCACUUCAGUAGCACAUAUACUAAAAUUGCAGUGAUACAGAGAAGAUUAGCAAUGGCCCCAGCACAAGGAUGACAGGCAAAAACUAUACCCCUGGAAUUUGCUA
Small nuclear RNA from Otolemur garnettii (small-eared galago), 108 nucleotides. The record is from Ensembl. NCBI's taxonomy places the organism in Eukaryota, Metazoa, Chordata, Mammalia, Primates, Galagidae.